This 200-nucleotide ribosomal RNA is filed under the name uncultured bacterium. RNAcentral's name for it is "partial 16S ribosomal RNA". It matches the Rfam family "Bacterial small subunit ribosomal RNA", at positions 8 to 207 of the family's 1533-position model. The record is from RNAcentral.
AGAGUUUGAUCAUGGCUCAGAUUGAACGCUGGCGGAAUGCUUUACACAUGCAAGUCGAACGGCAGCACGGGGGCAACCCUGGUGGCGAGUGGCGAACGGGUGAGUAAUACAUCGGAACGUGCCCAGUCGUGGGGGAUAACUACGCGAAAGCGUAGCUAAUACCGCAUACGAUCUACGGAUGAAAGCGGGGGACCGUAAGG